This 3810-nucleotide long non-coding RNA is filed under the name Venturia canescens. RNAcentral describes it as "uncharacterized LOC122417226". Lineage: Eukaryota; Metazoa; Arthropoda; Insecta; Hymenoptera; Ichneumonidae. The record is from RNAcentral.
GCGGCGCGCGCACGCGUAUAUGAACCUUUUCGAAUCUUUUCUUUUCUAUUGCCACAUGAUGGCUCAAUGUAUAGAUUCUCCUGAAUGGCUCUAACCCGGAGUCGAGUGGCGUGUGCGGAAUCUUUGUGGGCUUUUCGGAGCCAUAAACCGUCGUAAUUGUCAGUAGUAUUUGAAAUUCAUGAGAAUUUUACUGGCCACUCUUGGCCGCCGAAGGUAUCAAUGAAAGUUUCGUAAAUCCCUUCCCCCAGGAAUCUUUCCAAAUGUGUUUUUUCUCAACUGUAAACGUUUUUUCUCUCUCUCUCUCUCUCUCUUUUUUUUUUCUAGAAAUACUUCAACGUAAAACGACGUACCGAGUCAUACCGUUUAUCGGGGCUCGGAGGAACGGACGAAAUGAUUUAUCAAACGACUCAACGGUGCGCGCUGUCUUCGUUACAUUAUUUUUGUCUCAAUUCUUUUGAUUUUCUCCGCGAAACGAGAAGAUGAAUGGAGCAGCCUUCGGAGAUAACGAAAGGAGAGGCUCGUAAGGAACGCGAGGAAUUUUCGUUAUGUCCAUCCUCACUCUCGAGGCUUGACGACGCGAGACACGAGAGAGGGAGAGGCCGCAGGGACGAUAAGCCGCUCUCGCUUUAUCGCUCCGCUCCCUUAUACACCUUGAAGAUACGGAACCGCGGGGGUUCGAGAAGCCUCCUAAGACAAAGGGAACCCGGCGAGGGAUUAUAGGCGCGCGUAUACGUUUGCCACAAGGAGCAGCUCUACCGGGACCCCUCAUCCCGCGUGGCAAAUUUUUCCAUCUUCCUCCGUCGCUCAGCCUCUCUCGGUCUUUCCUUCUCAAUCUCGAACUCGGCCCCCCCUUGACUUUCUCAAAGAGCAGCAGCAGCAGCAGCAGCAGCACAUGGUCCGGGGAAUAGUGAGUUGUAGAAUGGAACGAGAAGGUAAAAGAGCGGAGAAAAAAUGAGCCGGUGAGCAAGAGAGAACGGAGAGCAACACACUCUGCGAGGUACCCAACAGAAAGAGUGCCGCCAAGGAGAAUAUUUAUGGGGUUCCGAACUGGACCACCCGGUAAUUAAGACGACCCUGAAGUUGGGGCGGGGCAGUAACCGGCACGAUAUCCUUUUCUCUACCUAGAUCGUUCCUCACCGCCAUUCCUCAGCCCUCCCGAGAGCCCUGGCUCUUUCCAUCUCUCCCUCUUUUUACCACUCCUCGAUCUCUCAGCCAAACCUGUGGCGAUCUUCCUCAGAUCUCUCUUGUUCAUUGCCCCAGGAGAAUCCGAGUCCUCUCAAACUAUUUUGGAUGGUACAGAGCUCAACUCUGCUUAGCAACUUGCAUCCACGCGCGACUCACCGACCCGAAUGUCCAAGGCUUCUAACUAGAUACGCGGACCGUGAAAGAGCACGAAAGCAGAGAGGAGGGCGGGGAGCGGAGCGAAGUAGGCAAAACAUCAUAUUGUACUUACGAGCGUUACGCUCCAGAGAAACACUUGGAAGCAAUUCUCGGAGCUGAAACCGAGUCAAGUUGUUUUUAUUCCUUUGGCGCAUGCUCGAAGAAAAUUUUCGAUGUGCUGUGCCACGCGAGGCCUGCUAGAUACUUGACCAUUUUCUACCGAUGCACAUUUGCCCGGGUACGCGUGUGCAUUAUGCCUGUUAAAUAAUGCAUCCGGUCACGUAGCCGAGAAAGUGUUUUCGUUCGAGUAAAUAACAGGCAACAUUUAUAAAUGUAUCCCUAAAUAUUGUAACCGACGAGCGGAAGAAAUCGUGCACAAUUGCCAGAGUCUCGAUGAACGUGGUCUCGGUACAAAUUAGUUAAGAGGGGCUUGAGAGAAUUUUUCACACAAAGUUUAGGCUAGCAAAGGAAAAAAGUUGUUACCCUCGGGAAUAACAAUUGGAGUUUUAGUUACAUCUCGUAUUAUUUAUCGAGGAAGGAAGUGACAGUUGGUAUUUCCUUAAAUCGGUCAUAAUUCGAGGGUGGGCGUUGCGCCCAAUCUAUUUAACGCGUUACACAGUAUAUCUCAGCUCCGGUGUGUUGAUUGAGAUAAAACACAGGUUUACGGAGUUAUCCCUCCAUCAGUUACUUCGAGACAGAUGCCUCGGAGUCUCUCGGAGUGAGCAAUAAUGCUCUUCGCGCUGCUCGAGCCUUCUCUCGUCGGCUCUUUCUCUUCUUCUUCUUCUUCUUCUUUGUUGCGUGCUCUAUCGGAUAAUCUCCGCUGCUUCGUACACUCGAGAAGCUACAAAAUACCGAGUACGUCUCGUCUCGUUUGACGAAAAGGGGCGUGGGCUUUUCCCAGAAAUCUCGAGCUUCGUCGAUUGAGAGUCGCCAGGCGGAAAUGGCGCAAAUGUUGAAUUACCAAGUGGGAAGUUGGAAUCGGGCAGACUGCAUGGCGCGCAUUGCCAACAAACCGCCGCGCUUCUUUUCCUCUCUUUCUCAUCGCUUUGCGUGACUCAUUCAAAAGCUCCACGAGCCGGAUCCUCUCUUCGUAUAUUUUCCCCUAAACGAGACUCGCCGAUCUCCCGUGAGAAGCCUCGACGAUUACUUAAAAAACAUCAACAACAACAACAACACCGUCGAGGACUCGGUGACUUUUUGUCAAGUCACUCGAUCCAAUUAGGCGCGGUAACCUUGCGAGAUUGAAAGACAUUGCCGUCUCUCUCCAUUUGAGAGUUUCGUUAACGCUCGAUCAUCCGGUGCACAAUGACAAUGUACAUCGGCAGUACCCGAGAGAGGUCUUCGUCCACGCAACACGAAGAAAGUCACCGGAAGCCUCGAACUUUGGGUCUAUACUCGGGGUUGAUAGGCCCGUUUACGUUCGAGCAAAAAAACUACUCGUCGCACACUUUCGUACGAGGGAUGUGCUUCCAUCCGAAUUCUUAACUCGCGCUCGCGUCCCUGUUAUACGCUUUAACGAAAUCGCCUUAACCACCUGGUGGGCCGAGAUGAUGUUCCCUCUUGUUUCCAUAGCGUUUUGUUGAUGAUGGAGACUCCUACAUCGCUGGAGAGCGUGAUCCAUGUAGUUGUGAGGAUGAACGAAACUGUGGGAAUAUUCGACGAGUCUGUAAGCGGCAUUUCGAGGAUCCUCAUCGCGAGGGGGCGGCAAAGUGGGUUCCACCAAGGUGGUCUUUCAUUCGGGACCACACAAAUGAUAGUCCGUACGAGCCCGCGUGACGGCACUGAAGAUACUGCGGCUCGGACUAAUACAGCUCAUCAUUACUACUACAUCCAUACACACGAGUGGACUAUCUUGCUCUCGGCCGGUUCUCUAUCGGGUCGCGUGUGGGUCGAGUCAUCCUCGAAUGAGGCGGCGAAUAAAUUGAACAAAGGAACCGGAGUGGACGCACUCUCGCGCGCGCGCGCGCCGCACAAGAGAAACUUUUUGCCUCGCGCUACCAGCGGACAGAUGAAGAGGCCGAGAGACGAGUUCCGGUCGGAAACCAAGUCUCCCGUCUUCGGUUCCAGGUAGCGGAGUUUCGUCGGAGCCUCGGCGGAUCUCCAGCCAGCGGUUGGGCUUCCAAAUCCUCCAACUCCGUGGACACAUUCCAGGCGCGAUGAGCAAUCUUGUUCCCAACUGUUUCCAGCUUGCUAGCCGACGCUCCAAUUCUACGCCUCGCGGUACUCGCACAGUACAUUGAUCCGCAAUCGCUGCUCGAACCAACUCCGAACAAAGUGCUGCUUGCACCAGCACAGCGUUUCACGUCGCGCUCAAUUUCCUGGGUAAACAGCCGUAUGAAAUUCCGCCCGUAGAAUCCAACUGCAAAAUAAAAUAAGGCACGUCAUAGACGAGGUGGAAUAAUAAAUAAAUAAAUAAGAGAGAAAAAGAAA